AGUAAGUUAUUGCCAGGGUUUUUAUUUUAUACUUUAAACAUUGAUUUUAUUUUUUAUGUUUUUAGAUGUUCAUGUUUUUGAAUGUUUUAUUUAAAUAAUAUAAAAAAUAAAAUAUAUAUUGACAUGGAUUAAACAAAGAUAUAUAUUAUUCUAUGUUGCAUAAGCAAAUUGGCAAAAUAGAGAUGGAAGAUAAAAAUAUGGUCAAAGUAAUAAGAGUC
RNAcentral lists this unclassified non-coding RNA (218 nucleotides) under uncultured Borreliella sp. RNAcentral's name for it is "partial 5S-23S ribosomal RNA intergenic spacer". The record is from RNAcentral. Lineage: Bacteria; Pseudomonadati; Spirochaetota; Spirochaetia; Spirochaetales; Borreliaceae.